Myotis daubentonii (Daubenton's bat) is the source of this 894-nucleotide non-coding RNA. The record is from the annotation of a RefSeq genome assembly. NCBI's taxonomy places the organism in Eukaryota, Metazoa, Chordata, Mammalia, Chiroptera, Vespertilionidae.
AGAGGUUUGGUGAUCAUAUCUUCUCACAUUAACUGCUAUGCGGGUGUGUUGUCACAUAGGGAGCCAUGAGGUUGGCCUUGCCUGGAGUUAAGCUCUCCCUUGAAGCCUAUGCUUGGUGGAGAGUGUGAUGGGACUUCCUUCAGUCAGGCAGCUGGGAUAAUUCAAGCCAGGUGUACAAUGAGAAGCACCUGCUCCUGAGAAACAGAGAAGCUGGGGGAUGGUCACCUGCCACAAAACCAGCCUGGCCCAGCUCAGCACAGCCAGAGCACCUACUGAUAGGAAAAUGAACAGAAUGGGGAAUGCCUAGACCAACUGAGCCUGUCUAGGAAGUGCAGGUUGCCUGUGGAGCCUACAAGGACAGUAACAUCAGGACAGUGACAUCACAGGCAAGCCCUCCACUCAGAGCAGAGAGAGAGGCAAACCCUCUGCUCUCUCACCCCAAACACCAGAGCCCAGAGCUGGGAGAUGGCCAGUCUUGCUCUGCCUGAAUCUUUCAGGGGCCCCCGGCUCCUCUGCUGCAUGGCCCUCUGCCUUCUGGGGGCAGGUUCUGUGGCUGCUGGAGUCACCCAGUCUCCAAGACAUAUAAUCAAAGUCCAAGAGCGGAAGGCUGUUCUGAAGUGCCACUCCAUCUCCGGACACAGCUAUGUGUACUGGUACCAGCAGGCUCUGGGACACGGCCCCCAGUUCCUCAUUAGUUUUUAUGAAAAGGAGGAGGGACAGAAAGGAAAUAUUCCUGAUCGGUUCUCAGGAAAACAGUUCGAUAACUACAGCUCUGAGCUGACCCUGAGCGCCUUGCAGCUGGGAGACUCAGCUGUGUAUCUCUGUGCCAGCAGCUUAGACACAGCCCUGCAGCGUCAAUGGCUUUCUGUACUCAAACCUCCCUGCCCUAGCUGA